UCGAACGGAGCUGAGAGGAGCUUGCUUUUCUUAGCUUAGUGGCGAACGGGUGAGUAACGCGUGAGGAACCUGCCUCAAAGAGGGGGACAACAGUUGGAAACAAGUGCUAAUACCGCAUAAGACCACGGACCGGCAUCGGUCAGAGGUCAAAGGAGGAAUCCGCUUUGGGAGGGGUUCGCGUCCCAUUAGGUAGUUGGUGAGGUAACGGCCCACCAAGCCGACGAUGGGUAGCCGAGCUGAGAGGCUGAUCGGCCACACUGGAACUGAGACACGGUCCAGACUCC
This 284-nucleotide ribosomal RNA is filed under the name uncultured bacterium. RNAcentral describes it as "partial 16S ribosomal RNA". It matches the Rfam family "Bacterial small subunit ribosomal RNA", at positions 62 to 339 of the family's 1533-position model. The record is from RNAcentral.